CCUACGGGAGGCAGCAGUGGGGAAUAUUGGACAAUGGGCGCAAGCCUGAUCCAGCCAUGCCGCGUGAGUGAUGAAGGCCCUAGGGUUGUAAAGCUCUUUCACCGGAGAAGAUAAUGACGGUAUCCGGAGAAGAAGCCCCGGCUAACUUCGUGCCAGCAGCCGCGGUAAUACGAAGGGGGCUAGCGUUGUUCGGAAUUACUGGGCGUAAAGCGCACGUAGGCGGAUCGAUCAGUCAGGGGUGAAAUCCCAGGGCUCAACCCUGGAACUGCCUUUGAUACUGUCGAUCUGGAGUAUGGAAGAGGUGAGUGGAAUUCCGAGUGUAGAGGUGAAAUUCGUAGAUAUUCGGAGGAACACCAGUGGCGAAGGCGGCUCACUGGUCCAUUACUGACGCUGAGGUGCGAAAGCGUGGGGAGCAAACAGGAUUAGAUACCCCUGUAGUC
Molecule: ribosomal RNA, 440 nt
Filed under: uncultured bacterium
Lineage: Bacteria
Description: bacterial SSU rRNA
Rfam family: Bacterial small subunit ribosomal RNA
Source: RNAcentral